UUGCUAUGGUUUCUCUUCAGAUCGCAUAAAUCUUUUGCCUUUUACUUAAGAUUUCCCUGAAGAGGAACAGUUAUGAGUGGAGAGAACUUUGGAUUUGGAGUCAAAGGAUCUGGC
This is a small nuclear RNA of Trichosurus vulpecula (common brushtail), 114 nucleotides long. RefSeq annotates it as U5 spliceosomal RNA. Lineage: Eukaryota; Metazoa; Chordata; Mammalia; Diprotodontia; Phalangeridae. The transcript has a single exon. The record is from RefSeq and is a predicted model, not a curated record.